AUUAAGAUGUCUGAUUAAAGUAAUAAAUUGUAAAUUUAUUUAAGAAUAAAAAUUCUCUUAAUA
Molecule: transfer RNA, 63 nt
Filed under: Atkinsoniella wui
Lineage: Eukaryota; Metazoa; Arthropoda; Insecta; Hemiptera; Cicadellidae
Description: tRNA-Tyr
Source: RNAcentral